AUUCGAUUUACCUAACGUCUUACAGCACCCUUAGAAUGUAAGUUUGAGCAUGGCCCUUAGCAACUUCUGUUCCUGUAUGUGCAAGUUGUUAUGUUGCAAUUACUUGUUUGUUAGUCCACCUAUUGUACAUACCUGCAGAAUAUGUUGGUGUUUACAUAUAACAAUAACAAUAAAAAGCAAAUCAAACACAAUUAGAACCAUUAUGCCACUGUUUCUUAACCUGUACAUCAUUAUCCAAAAUAGGUUAUGUAUCUGCUCUUAUGUCUUCCUUAAUUGUAGAAGCAUUCAGUCCAAAAUAAGGAGCAGGCUAUGCACUUUUCUUCUCAUAGACAGC
Pelobates cultripes (western spadefoot toad) is the source of this 334-nucleotide non-coding RNA. Lineage: Eukaryota; Metazoa; Chordata; Amphibia; Anura; Pelobatidae. The record is from the annotation of a GenBank genome assembly.